This 228-nucleotide long non-coding RNA is filed under the name Mytilus galloprovincialis (Mediterranean mussel). The record is from RNAcentral. Lineage: Eukaryota; Metazoa; Mollusca; Bivalvia; Mytilida; Mytilidae.
UAGGUACAUGUUAUAUUUGAUUUGUAUACUAGCACAUUGUAUGUAUGUGUGAUAGUCACAAGAACUUUAAUUUCAAGAUCUCGUCUACAUAGAUCAAUCCUGAUGAAGAAGAUAUUUAGUGGACUCUCUAGUAGUGAUAUGUUAUCAUGAAACCACUAUGGACUUAAUGUAUACUUAUUAUAUUUAUUGUUCGGAAUUGUAAAACUAAAUUUAAAACAGGGGAGGGAA